GACGAACGCUGGCGGCGUGCCUAAUACAUGCAAGUAGAACGCAGUUGCGAACGGGUGAGUAACGCGUAGGUAACUGCCUCGUAGCGGGGGAUAACUAUUGGAAACGAUAGCUAAUACCGCAUCCUGUGAGAUGGACCUGCGUUGUAUUAGUUAGUUGGUGAGGUAAAGGCUCACCAAGGCGACGAUCCAUAGCCGACCUGAGAGGGUGAUCGGCCACACUGGGACUGAGACAAGGCCCAGACCCCUACGGGAGGGAGCCGUAGGGAAUAUUAGGAAAUGGACGGAAGGCUGACCGAGCACAGCCGCGGGAGUGAAGAAGGUUUUCGGAUCUUAAAGCUCUGUUGUUAGAGAAGCGGUAACUAAACAGAAAGGGACGGCUAACUACGUGCCAGCAGCCGCGGUAAUUC
RNAcentral lists this ribosomal RNA (407 nucleotides) under uncultured bacterium. RNAcentral's name for it is "partial 16S ribosomal RNA". It matches the Rfam family "Bacterial small subunit ribosomal RNA", at positions 28 to 526 of the family's 1533-position model. The record is from RNAcentral.